CUUGAGGGGGGUCCCUCAGUCCAGAUUGUGAGAGGGCGCAGGCCAGGCCGAGGGACCCCAUUGGUGCACG
RNAcentral lists this microRNA precursor (70 nucleotides) under Myotis lucifugus (little brown bat). Its description in RNAcentral is "mir-9193 microRNA precursor family". It matches the Rfam family "mir-9193 microRNA precursor family". The record is from Rfam by way of RNAcentral. Lineage: Eukaryota; Metazoa; Chordata; Mammalia; Chiroptera; Vespertilionidae.